GGGCCCUCCCGCGAGAAAUCAGGAGUAUUCGGGUUCCGGGGGGAGUAUGGUCGCAAGGCCGAAACUUAAAGGAAUUGACGGAAGGGCACCACCAGGAGUGGAAUCUGCGGCUUAAUUUGACCCAACGCGGGAAAACUCACCAGGUCAGGACACGGUAAGGAUUGACGGACUGAAGGCUCUUUCUCGAUUCCGUGGAAAGUGGUGCAUGGCGUUUUUGGUUGGUGGAUCGAUCCGUCUGGUUAAUUCCGUUAACGAACGAGACCUCGGCACUCCGAAUAGCGCGGCGGACGUCGCGGCCUCCGGGCCGUCUUCCGCACGAGCUUCUUAGAGGGACCGUCCCCCGCCGGGGAAGGAGGUGCGAGGCAACGACAGGUCUGUGAUGCCCUUAGAUGUUCUGGGCCGCACGCGCAUUACACUGACGCGUCCAACGGGUGACUCCCGACCCGAAGGGGCCGGGGAAUCCGCAAGGCGCGUCGUGAUGGGGAUUGAACGUUGCAAUUGUUGUUCACGAACGAGGAAUUCCUAGUAGGCGCGGGUCAUCAACCCGCGCCGAUUACGUCCCUGCCCUUUGUACACACCCG
Molecule: ribosomal RNA, 581 nt
Filed under: uncultured eukaryote
Lineage: Eukaryota
Description: bacterial SSU rRNA
Rfam family: Eukaryotic small subunit ribosomal RNA
Source: RNAcentral